RNAcentral lists this ribosomal RNA (253 nucleotides) under uncultured bacterium. RNAcentral's name for it is "partial 16S ribosomal RNA". It matches the Rfam family "Bacterial small subunit ribosomal RNA", at positions 524 to 776 of the family's 1533-position model. The record is from RNAcentral.
UACAGAGGGGGCAAGCGUUAUUCGGAAUUAUUGGGCGUAAAGGGCGCGUAGGCGGCUUUGCAAGUGGCGGGUGAAAUCCCUCGGCUUAACCGAGGAACUGCCUGUCAAACUGCAUGGCUUGAGACCAGGAGAGGUGAGUGGAAUUCCCAGUGUAGCGGUGAAAUGCGUAGAUAUUGGGAGGAACACCAGUGGCGAAGGCGGCUCACUGGACUGGUACUGACGCUGAGGCACGAAAGCGUGGGGAGCAAACAGG